RNAcentral lists this ribosomal RNA (253 nucleotides) under uncultured bacterium. RNAcentral describes it as "partial 16S ribosomal RNA". It matches the Rfam family "Bacterial small subunit ribosomal RNA", at positions 524 to 776 of the family's 1533-position model. The record is from RNAcentral.
UACGUAGGGGGCGAGCGUUGUUCGGAAUUAUUGGGCGUAAAGGGUGCGUAGGCGGCUUUGUAAGUGUGUCUGUCAAUAUAAGGGCUCAACCCUUAUACCUGGACGCAAACUGCAAAACUAGAGUCUGCCAGGGGCAAGUGGAAUUCCAGGUGUAGCGGUGAAAUGUAUAGAGAUCUGGAGGAACACCCGUGGCGAAGGCGACUUGCUGGGGCUGGACUGACGCUGAGGCACGAAAGCCAGGGGAGCAAACGGG